GACGAACGCUGGCGGCGCGCUUAACACAUGCAAGUCGUGCGGUGUCGAAGGCAAGUCUUACGACAAGCCUUCGACACAGCGGCGAACGGGUGAGUAACACGUGAGUAGCUGUCCUAAGGAGGGGGAUAACGCCUGGAAACGGGUGCUAACACCCCAUAUGCCUCGCAAGAGGUGAAAGUGUACUUGCUACAGCCUUAGGGUGUGCUCGCGGCCUAUCAGCUAGUUGGUGAGGUAACGGCUCACCAAGGCCAAGACGGGUAGCCGGCCUGAGAGGGUGUACGGCCACACUGGAAUUGAGAUACGGUCCAGACUCCUACGGGAGGCAGCAGUGGGGAAUCUUGGGCAAUGGGCGAAAGCCUGACCCAGCGACGCCGCGUUGGGGAUGAAGCCCUUCGGGGCGUAAACCCAUGUUGUAGGGGAAGAAGAAAGUGACGGUACCCUACGAGAAAGCCCCGGCCAACUACGUG
RNAcentral lists this ribosomal RNA (467 nucleotides) under uncultured bacterium. Its description in RNAcentral is "bacterial SSU rRNA". It matches the Rfam family "Bacterial small subunit ribosomal RNA", at positions 28 to 507 of the family's 1533-position model. The record is from RNAcentral.